CAAACACAAAGUGUUAUUCUUUUCAUCUCUCUGUUGUGUUGUGUUCCCCACCCCGCAUUAAUUCCUCACCGUCUUCUUUCUUUCUUCUCAUCACAAAGACACAAACUUUCUUCCUCAACCACCCAACCCAACUUUUUAUUCCACUCAUCACUUCCUUGGAAAUUGCAACCAUAAAAAAAAUUGUUUGUUUUUAUUCCUUCAUUCAUAAUAAUACUUUGAAAAGUGUUGCUUUUUGGGUUGAGAAUUGAGAGUUGUGGCAGGGUCUAAUGGGUAACUGCCUAGAUUCUUCUGCCAAAGUUGAUGCAGCUCAGAGCUCCAGAUCCACUUCUGCAUCAGGAAUCUCAAAAACUACUCCUUCCAGUUUAUCUAUUCCAUCAUACAGUGAAAAAAGCAAUGCCUCAAGUCUUCCCACACCAAGGUCCGAGGGUGAAAUCUUGUCUUCUCCCAAUCUUAAGCCCUUCACAUUCAAUGAGCUGAAGAAUGCCACCAGAAAUUUUCGCCCCGAUAGUCUUCUCGGUGAAGGGGGAUUUGGAUAUGUCUACAAGGGAUGGAUUGAUGAACACACAUUUACAGCUUCAAAACCUGGAUCAGGAAUGGUUGUUGCUGUAAAAAGGCUUAAACCUGAAGGUUUUCAAGGUCAUAAGGAGUGGUUGACUGAGGUUAAUUACCUCGGACAACUGUACCACCCUAAUCUGGUUAAAUUAAUCGGGUACUGCUUGGAGGGAGAGAACCGGCUAUUGGUGUAUGAGUUUAUGCCUAAAGGGAGCUUAGAGAACCAUCUAUUUAGAAGAGGACCGCAACCACUCUCUUGGUCGGUGAGGAUGAAAGUGGCUAUUGGUGCUGCCAGAGGACUCUCCUUUCUUCAUAAUGCCAAAUCACAAGUCAUAUACCGUGAUUUUAAAGCUUCUAACAUCCUGCUGGAUGCUGAGUUUAAUUCGAAACUCUCUGACUUUGGUUUAGCUAAGGCGGGUCCUACUGGUGAUAGAACUCAUGUGUCUACUCAAGUCAUGGGUACUCAAGGAUAUGCAGCACCUGAAUAUGUUGCAACUGGUCGGUUGACGGCCAAAAGUGAUGUCUACAGCUUCGGAGUUGUGUUGCUUGAACUUCUAUCAGGAAGACGCGCAGUUGAUAAAACCAUAACCGGAAUGGAGCAGAAUCUGGUGGACUGGGCAAAACCAUAUUUGAGCGAUAAACGAAGACUGUUCAGGAUUAUGGAUACCAAGUUGGAGGGCCAGUACCCACAAAAGGGGGCCUUCACGGCUGCCACACUUGCUCUACAAUGCCUAAACAGUGAGGCCAAGGCAAGGCCUCCAAUGACAGAGGUUUUAGCAACUCUGGAACAGAUAGAGGCCCCCAAGACAGCAGGCAGAAACUCCCAUUCAGAACACCAUAGACUUCAGACUCCUGUGAGAAAGUCUCCUGCGCGAAACCGGUCACCGUUAAAUCUAACUCCUACUGCGUCUCCUCUCCCAGCUCACCGGCAAUCGCCUCGUGUGCACUAAAGCUGUGAACAUAGAACAUCUGUAUAUGUAAAUUCCUUAAAUUUAUCAGGUUGUGUUUUGGACAGCAUGCGUUGAGGCAUGUGUACUUAAAUGCAAUUUUGGGUCAUGCACGGUAGAGUAGUUAACACCAUUUAUCCAAAUGCUAUGCAAGUUAUUGCAGAGCAGUAUUCUGCAUAUAUAUCUCCUGUUACCAAUGUCUUGUUGAUAAUAACAACCUGACACAUUGCUUCCCUUCUAUUAUGGGUGUCCCUUUAUUUGGUUUUGGCCUAAAACAAUUCCAAAACAUGGAGAGAGAGAGAGGGUUGUUGUAUAUACUUAACAUCUUGUGUGCAAAAUUUGUUGAAUUAGUUUUUAA
Molecule: RNA transcript, 1857 nt
Organism: Glycine soja
Lineage: Eukaryota; Viridiplantae; Streptophyta; Magnoliopsida; Fabales; Fabaceae
Gene name: probable serine/threonine-protein kinase PBL3
Exons: 6
Source: RefSeq, a predicted model, not a curated record